AGCAGCCGCGGUAAUUCCAGCUCCAAUAGCGUAUAUUAAAGUUGUUGCAGUUAAAAAGCUCGUAGUUGAAUUUCGGGAUCAAUUAAUUGGUCGUGCCUCUGGUACGUACUGGUUUUAUUGGUUUCUCCCUUCUGACGAACCAUGAUGUCAUUAAUUUGGUGUCGUGGAGAAUCAGGACUGUUACUUUGAAAAAAUUAGAGUGUUUAAAGCAAGCUAACGCUUGAAUACAUUAGCAUGGAAUAAUGAAAUAGGACGUUUGAUCCUAUUUUGUUGGUUUCUAGGAUCGACGUAAUGAUUAAUAGGGAUAGUUGGGGGCAUUAGUAUUCAAUUGUCAGAGGUGAAAUUCUUGGAUUUAUUGAAGACUAACUACUGCGAAAGCAUUUGCCAAGGAUGUUUUCAUUAAUCAAGAACGAAAGUUAGGGGAUCGAAGACGAUCAGAUACCGUCGUAGUCUUAACCAUAAACUAUGCCGACUAGGGAUCGGAUGAUGUUAAUUUUUAAUGACUCAUUCGGCGCCUUAA
RNAcentral lists this unclassified non-coding RNA (520 nucleotides) under uncultured Glomus. RNAcentral's name for it is "SSU rRNA". It matches the Rfam family "Eukaryotic small subunit ribosomal RNA", at positions 569 to 1091 of the family's 1831-position model. The record is from RNAcentral. Lineage: Eukaryota; Fungi; Glomeromycota; Glomeromycetes; Glomerales; Glomeraceae.